This 1290-nucleotide long non-coding RNA is filed under the name Nicotiana benthamiana. RNAcentral describes it as "long non-coding RNA (NBEN_LNC027142)". Lineage: Eukaryota; Viridiplantae; Streptophyta; Magnoliopsida; Solanales; Solanaceae. The record is from RNAcentral.
GAUAAUAUUAUAGAGAGGUCUGACUAUAUUUUCAGCAUAGUUAGUGAAACAAAUAUAUCUCAAUCGAAUAACACAGAAAUCAAAAUCAGAAUAUAUACAAGGCUGAUAUACUGCUCUUUCUUUUGACAAACUAAAGACAGGUUAUCCUGUCAGUGACUACUCAGUGUCCAUCAGGUGAACAAUCUAUUUAGGCCAAAUGAUAUUAAACAAAUCUCCAAAAGGUAAUUCAAACCGAUAGAUCGUUCAAAAAAAAAAAAAAACAAAGACAGCACACUAACAGCAAUAGCAAGAACAAAUCCAUAAUUAUCGCGAUCAUUUCUAAGGCUCACUUCUAAAUCAAUAACUCAAGUAGAAGAUACAUCUUCUGAAUCCUAGGAAAACAGGGGGUAUACAUUCUAUGUUGACUACAAGCGAUAGUUGAGUAUGUCAUUGAGGUCCAGCACCUGAAACGAGGACACUGAGGAAGGAUUGCUGUUGUUUUACUCCCUAGCAGAACCAACUGUUGAACUUCAUCAUUGGUUCAAUUGGCAGAUAAUUGGGGUUGCCUAGCUCAAAACUCAAACACAUAACUAAUAUGUGCACUCAUGGAACAUUCAUAACUUGAAUGGACUGCAGCAUGUCGGAAACAGCAAUGAUGAGGUCACCUGACUUGAUCAUGCCCCGAGCUUUUAGCAAGGAAAAUGUCUUGUUGAGGUUGCUUUCCAUAUCAUCAGAGAAACUCAAGCGGAAAGGCAUUAGACCCCAUUGCAGGUUCAGGCGUCUGCGUACAGACGUUGUCGUUGUAAAUGCAAAUAUUGGGCAGUCAGGACGGCAGCGUGACAAGAGAGAUGCCAUGUGCCCAUUCUUGGUGUAAACAAAAAGUGCAUCAACUUCCAAAUUGUUAGCUGCAAAUCACAACAGAAAUAAGCAUUGGAUCAAACUAAGGAGAAUGUCUUGUUGAGGUUGCUUUCCAUAUCAUCGGAGAAACUCAAGCGGAAAGGCAUUAGACCCCAUUGCAGGUUCAGGCGUCUGCGUACAGAUGUUGUCGUUGUAAAUGCAAAUAUUGGGCAGUCAGGACGGCAGCGUGACAAGAGAGAUGCCAUGUGCCCAUUCUUGGUGUAAACAAAAAGAGCAUCAACUUCCAAAUUGUUAGCUGCAAAUCACAACAGAAAUAAGCAUUGGAUCAAACAGUAAGACUAGAAUAUAAAAGACCAUGAUUCGAAAUCAGGAUAUGUUUUCUUCUCCUGAGUUCAAACUUCCAUCAAUAUGCUCAGAACAAAGUAACUUGCUAUCGUCCCACAAAACUGUAAU